Molecule: ribosomal RNA, 374 nt
Filed under: uncultured Bacteroidota bacterium
Lineage: Bacteria; Pseudomonadati; Bacteroidota
Description: bacterial SSU rRNA
Rfam family: Bacterial small subunit ribosomal RNA
Source: RNAcentral
CGUAUGCACUGCCCAGUACAGGGGAUAGCCCGGAGAAAUUCGGACUUAAUACCCCAUAAUGAUAAGAGAUGGCAUCAUUUUUAUUUAAAGUUACGGCGGUACUGGAUGGGCAUGCGUGACAUUAGCUAGUUGGUAGGGUAACGGCCUACCAAGGCAUCGAUGUCUAGGGGUCCUGAGAGGGUGAUCCCCCACACUGGUACUGAGACACGGACCAGACUCCUACGGGAGGCAGCAGUGAGGAAUAUUGGUCAAUGGGCGCAAGCCUGAACCAGCCAUCCCGCGUGAAGGAAGAAUGCGCUAUGCGUUGUAAACUUCUUUUCCAGCGGAAUAAAAUUUCGUACGUGUACGGGACUGAAGGUACCUUGGGAAUAAGC